Molecule: ribosomal RNA, 579 nt
Filed under: uncultured bacterium
Lineage: Bacteria
Description: bacterial SSU rRNA
Rfam family: Bacterial small subunit ribosomal RNA
Source: RNAcentral
CCUACGGGAGGCAGCAGUGGGGAAUCUUGCGCAAUGGCCGAGAGGCUGACGCAGCGACGCCGCGUGGGGGAUGAAGCAUUUCGGUGUGUAAACCCCUGUUGCUCGGGACGAACGAUCCUUUUCGAGGGAUGUGACGGUACCGAGUGAGGAAGCACCGGCUAACUCCGUGCCAGCAGCCGCGGUAAUACGGAGGGUGCGAGCGUUGUCCGGAAUCACUGGGCGUAAAGGGCGCGUAGGUGGUUGGAUGCGCCGGUGGUGAAAGCGCAGGGCUCAACCCUGCGUCGGCCAUCGGGACGGUCCGACUGGAGCACUGUAGAGGCAGGUGGAAUUCCGGGUGUAGCGGUGGAAUGCGUAGAGAUCCGGAAGAACACCGGUGGCGAAGGCGGCCUGCUGGGCAGUUGCUGACACUGAGGCGCGACAGCGUGGGGAGCAAACAGGAUUAGAUACCCUGGUAGUCCACGCCGUAAACGAUGGGCACUAGGUGCUUGGGGGAGCGACCCCCUGAGUGCCGACGCUAACGCAUUAAGUGCCCCGCCUGGGGAGUACGACCGCAAGGUUGAAACUCAAAGGAAUUGACGG